This 502-nucleotide ribosomal RNA is filed under the name uncultured bacterium. RNAcentral's name for it is "partial 16S ribosomal RNA". It matches the Rfam family "Bacterial small subunit ribosomal RNA", at positions 30 to 523 of the family's 1533-position model. The record is from RNAcentral.
AUUGAACGCUGGCGGCAUGCCUUACACAUGCAAGUCGAACGGCAGCAUGGGUGCUUGCACCUGAUGGCGAGUGGCGAACGGGUGAGUAAAGCAUCGGAACGUACCCGGAAGUGGGGGAUAACGUAGCGAAAGUUACGCUAAUACCGCAUAUUCUGUGAGCAGGAAAGCAGGGGCUCGUAAGACCUUGCGCUUUCGGAGCGGCCGAUGUCGGAUUAGCUAGUUGGUGAGGUAAAGGCUCACCAAGGCGACGAUCCGUAGCGGGUCUGAGAGGAUGAUCCGCCACACUGGGACUGAGACACGGCCCAGACUCCUACGGGAGGCAGCAGUGGGGAAUUUUGGACAAUGGGCGGAAGCCUGAUCCAGCCAUGCCGCGUGAGUGAAGAAGGCCUUCGGGUUGUAAAGCUCUUUUGUCAGGGAAGAAAUAGCUUGGGUUAAUACCCUGGGCGGAUGACGGUACCUGAAGAAUAAGCACCGGCUAACUACGUGCCAGCCGCCGCUGUAA